Molecule: unclassified non-coding RNA, 342 nt
Filed under: soil metagenome
Description: partial contains 5.8S ribosomal RNA, internal transcribed spacer 2, and large subunit ribosomal RNA
Rfam family: 5.8S ribosomal RNA (bases 1-120)
Source: RNAcentral
GAUGAAGAACGCAGCGAAAUGCGAUAAGUAGUGUGAAUUGCAGAAUUCAGUGAAUCAUCGAAUCUUUGAACGCACAUUGCGGCCAUAGGUAUUCCUUUGGCCAUGCCUGUUCGAGCGUCAUUUACACCCUCAAGCCUAGCUUGGUGUUGGGCGUCAGUCCCGCCGUUCUCGCGCGCGGACUCGCCUCAAAGUCAUUGGCGGCGGUCGUGCCGGCCCCCUCGCGCAGCACAUUUGCGCUUCUCGGAGGCCCGGCGGAUCCGCGCUCCAGCAAGACCUUUCACGACUUGACCUCGGAUCAGGUAGGGAUACCCGCUGAACUUAAGCAUAUCAAUAAGCGGAGGA